RNAcentral lists this ribosomal RNA (383 nucleotides) under uncultured bacterium. RNAcentral describes it as "bacterial SSU rRNA". It matches the Rfam family "Bacterial small subunit ribosomal RNA", at positions 28 to 412 of the family's 1533-position model. The record is from RNAcentral.
GACGAACGCUGGCGGCGUGCUUAACACAUGCAAGUCGAGCGGUAAGGCCCUUUCGGGGGUACACGAGCGGCGAACGGGUGAGUAACACGUGGGUGACCUGCCCUCAGCUCUGGGAUAAGCCUGGGAAACCGGGUCUAAUACUGGAUAUGACUCCAUGACGCAUGUUGUGGGGUGGAAAGCCUUGUGCGGCUGAGGAUGGGCCCGCGGCCUAUCAGCUUGUUGGUGGGGUGANGGCCUACCAAGGCGACGACGGGUAGCCGGCCUGAGAGGGCGACCGGCCACACUGGGACUGAGACACGGCCCAGACUCCUACGGGAGGCAGGCAGUGGGGAAUCUUGCGCAAUGGGCGAAAGCCUGACGCAGCGACGCCGCGUGAGGAUGAC